This 130-nucleotide ribosomal RNA is filed under the name Candidatus Enterococcus stercoripullorum. Its description in RNAcentral is "partial 16S ribosomal RNA". It matches the Rfam family "Bacterial small subunit ribosomal RNA", at positions 1 to 115 of the family's 1533-position model. Lineage: Bacteria; Bacillati; Bacillota; Bacilli; Lactobacillales; Enterococcaceae. The record is from RNAcentral.
UUUUAUGAGAGUUUGAUCCUGGCUCAGGACGAACGCUGGCGGCGUGCCUAAUACAUGCAAGUCGAACGCAUUUUCUUUCACCGUAGCUUGCUACACCGGAAGAAAAUGAGUGGCGAACGGGUGAGUAACA